UGCAAGACCGUGCGAGCCGCGGGGGUAAUACGUGGGUGGGAAGCGUUCACCGUAAGUACUGGGCAGAAAGCGCACGCAGGCGGUUGGAUAAGGUAGAUGUGAAAGCCCCGGGCUCAACCUGGGAAUUGCAUUUAAAACUGUCCAGCUAGAGUCUUGUAGAGGGGGGUAGAAUUCCAGGUGUAGCGGUGAAAUGCGUAGAGAUCUGGAGGAAUACCGGUGGCGAAGGCGGCCCCCUGGACAAAGACUGACGCUCAGGUGCGAAAGCGUGGGGAGCAAACAGGAUUAGAUACCCUGGUAGUC
This 300-nucleotide ribosomal RNA is filed under the name uncultured Luteolibacter sp. Its description in RNAcentral is "bacterial SSU rRNA". It matches the Rfam family "Bacterial small subunit ribosomal RNA", at positions 495 to 795 of the family's 1533-position model. The record is from RNAcentral. Lineage: Bacteria; Pseudomonadati; Verrucomicrobiota; Verrucomicrobiia; Verrucomicrobiales; Verrucomicrobiaceae.